Molecule: ribosomal RNA, 253 nt
Filed under: uncultured bacterium
Lineage: Bacteria
Description: partial 16S ribosomal RNA
Rfam family: Bacterial small subunit ribosomal RNA
Source: RNAcentral
UACGGAGGGGGCUAGCGUUAUUCGGAAUUACUGGGCGUAAAGCGCACGUAGGCGGCUUUGUAAGUUAGAGGUGAAAGCCUGGAGCUCAACUCCAGAACUGCCUUUAAGACUGCAUCGCUUGAAUCCAGGAGAGGUGAGUGGAAUUCCGAGUGUAGAGGUGAAAUUCGUAGAUAUUCGGAAGAACACCAGUGGCGAAGGCGGCUCACUGGACUGGUAUUGACGCUGAGGUGCGAAAGCGUGGGGAGCAAACAGG